This 477-nucleotide ribosomal RNA is filed under the name uncultured bacterium. RNAcentral describes it as "partial 16S ribosomal RNA". It matches the Rfam family "Bacterial small subunit ribosomal RNA", at positions 28 to 507 of the family's 1533-position model. The record is from RNAcentral.
GAUGAACGCUGGCGGCGUGCCUAAUACAUGCAAGUCGAGCGAACAGACGAGGAGCUUGCUCCUCUGACGUUAGCGGCGGACGGGUGAGUAACACGUGGAUAACCUACCUAUAAGACUGGGAUAACUUCGGGAAACCGGAGCUAAUACCGGAUAAUAUAUUGAACCGCAUGGUUCAAUAGUGAAAGACGGUUUUGCUGUCACUUAUAGAUGGAUCUGGGCCGCAUUAGCUAGUUGGUAGGGUAACGGCUUACCAAGGCAAUGAUGCGUAGCCGACCUGAGAGGGUGAACGGGCACAUUGGGACUGAGGUACGGCCCAGAGUCGUAUGGGAGGCAGCAGUGGGGAAUAUUGCACAAUGGGCGGAAGACUGAUGAAGAAACGCUGCGUGCGGGAUGACGGCCUUCGGGUUGUAAACCGCUUUCGCCUGUGACGAAGCGUGAGUGACGGUAAUGGGUAAAGAAGCACGGGCUAACUACGUG